UACGUAGGGGGGCGAGCGUUUGUCCGGAUUUACUGGGCGUAAAGAGCGCGUAGGCGGAAAUUUUAAGCGUGGCCUGAAAGCCCCCCGGCUCAACUGGGGAGGGUCACGCGAUACUGAUCGACUCGAAGGCAGGAGAGGGUAGUGGAAUUCCCGGUGUAGUGGUGAAAUGCGUAGAUAUCGGGAGGAACACCAGUGGCGAAGGCGACUACCUGGCCUGUUCUUGACGCUGAGGCGCGAAAGCUAGGGGAGCAAACGGG
RNAcentral lists this ribosomal RNA (257 nucleotides) under uncultured bacterium. RNAcentral's name for it is "partial 16S ribosomal RNA". It matches the Rfam family "Bacterial small subunit ribosomal RNA", at positions 524 to 776 of the family's 1533-position model. The record is from RNAcentral.